AGCCCACUAUUAUGAAAUAGUUAAGCCCAUACGGACAGGCGGGCUGCUGCCGG
This 53-nucleotide small RNA is filed under the name unclassified sequences. Its description in RNAcentral is "Streptococcus sRNA SpF59 (ldcC RNA)". It matches the Rfam family "Streptococcus sRNA SpF59 (ldcC RNA)". The record is from Rfam by way of RNAcentral.